UACGGGGGGGCAAGCGUUGUUCGGAAUUCCUGGGCGUAAAGGGCUCGUAGGCGGCCAACUAAGUCAUACGUGAAAUCCCUCGGCUUAACCGGGGAACUGCGUCUGAUACUGGAUGGCUUGAGUUCGGGAGAGGGAUGCGGAAUUCCAGGUGUAGCGGUGAAAUGCGUAGAUAUCUGGAGGAACACCGGUGGCGAAGGCGGCAUCCUGGACCGAUACUGACGCUGAGGAGCGAAAGCCAGGGGAGCAAACGGG
This 252-nucleotide ribosomal RNA is filed under the name uncultured bacterium. RNAcentral describes it as "partial 16S ribosomal RNA". It matches the Rfam family "Bacterial small subunit ribosomal RNA", at positions 524 to 776 of the family's 1533-position model. The record is from RNAcentral.